This 536-nucleotide long non-coding RNA is filed under the name Fukomys damarensis (Damara mole-rat). RNAcentral's name for it is "lncRNA (ENSFDAG00000026455.1)". Lineage: Eukaryota; Metazoa; Chordata; Mammalia; Rodentia; Bathyergidae. The record is from RNAcentral.
CGCCGCGCUCAGCCUCUUACCGCGGGCCGCUAGCGGGCCGGGGACGGUUCCCGGUUCUUGGCAGGGGCCAGACCCACUUCCGAAGCCGCUCCUUUGCGCCCUAAAACAAGUAGCCCCAAUGUGAGAGAAACAAAAGGCUUAAAAGCUACGCAGCUACCAAGAUGACAAUGCCAGGUGCCUACCGAAGGCCUUUAGAUGGAGUAACUCUGUAGAGUAACUCUAAUUGCUGAUCACAGCUACGAUCUUCUUCAGCUGGAAGUAGCCAGAGCUGUCUUCGUCCUUUGCCCCCUCACAGCAGUUAGGGGUACUUCUUCAGAGUGGUGAAGAUAGGCCUAUUUGGAGAAGUUCACCAGUGUGCCCCAGUCUUGAUUGGAAGAUCAGAGGAUACCAACCAGGGUUCCAGCAGCUAGAGGAGGAACAUCACUCCCUGGAAGAUGCACUUUAGGGAGGAGAAGAAAGGUGCACUGGAACUAACACAGGAAGACCCUACCUCUGCAGAGUCCCUCUAGGACCAAGGCCUAACAUUGCUCCGGGUG